Molecule: ribosomal RNA, 630 nt
Filed under: uncultured Actinomycetes bacterium
Lineage: Bacteria; Bacillati; Actinomycetota; Actinomycetes
Description: bacterial SSU rRNA
Rfam family: Bacterial small subunit ribosomal RNA
Source: RNAcentral
AACGCGUGAGUAACCUGCCCUUGACUCUGGGAUAAGCGUUGGAAACGACGUCUAAUACCGGAUACGCGCUUCGGAGGCAUCUCCAGGAGCGGGAAAGAAUUUCGGUCAAGGAUGGACUCGCGGCCUAUCAGUUAGUUGGUGAGGUAAUGGCUCACCAAGACGACGACGGGUAGCCGGCCUGAGAGGGUGACCGGCCACACUGGGACUGAGACACGGCCCAGACUCCUACGGGAGGCAGCAGUGGGGAAUAUUGCACAAUGGGCGCAAGCCUGAUGCAGCAACGCCGCGUGAGGGACGACGGCCUUCGGGUUGUAAACCUCUUUUAGUAGGGAAGAAGCGAAAGUGACGGUACCUGCAGAAAAAGCACCGGCUAACUACGUGCCAGCAGCCGCGGUAAUACGUAGGGUGCAAGCGUUAUCCGGAAUUAUUGGGCGUAAAGAGCUCGUAGGCGGUUUGUCGCGUCUGCUGUGAAAACUGGAGGCUCAACCUCCAGCCUGCAGUGGGUACGGGCAAACUAGAGUGCGGUAGGGGAGAUUGGAAUUCCUGGUGUAGCGGUGGAAUGCGCAGAUAUCAGGAGGAACACCGAUGGCGAAGGCAGAUCUCUGGGCCGUAACUGACGCUGAGGAGCGA